RNAcentral lists this ribosomal RNA (1412 nucleotides) under Pithecopus nordestinus. RNAcentral's name for it is "partial 16S ribosomal RNA". It matches the Rfam family "Bacterial large subunit ribosomal RNA", at positions 361 to 2597 of the family's 2925-position model. Lineage: Eukaryota; Metazoa; Chordata; Amphibia; Anura; Hylidae. The record is from RNAcentral.
GCUAAAAACCUAACCCAAAUCUUAAUAUGAAACCUAACUUUUUAACUAAUUUAUUAAAGCAUUCUAUAGUUACAGUAAAGGCGAUCGAAAUAUCUUUUGGAGUGAUAUUUACAGUACCGCAAGGGAACAGUGAAAUAAAAAUGAAAUAACUAUAAAGCACCUAACAGUAGAGAUUCCCCCUCGUACCUUUUGCAUCAUGAUUUAACUAGUUUAUCCAAGCAGAAAGCACUAAAGUUUGCCCCCCCGAAACUAAGCGAGCUACUUCAAGGCAGUCUCAAGAACUAACCCGUCUCUGUUGCAAAAGAGUGGGAAGACCUUCAAGUAGAGGUGACAGACCUAACGAGCUUAGUGAUAGCUGGUUACUUAAGAAAAGGAUCUUAGUCCUCCCCAAAUUUUCUUCAAUGUUUAUAAAUAAAAACUAAAAUUUGGAGUUAUUCAAAUAAGGUACAGCCUAUUUGAACCAGGAUACAACCUCCACAAACGGGUAAUUAACCCCCUAUGCAGCAAAGUAGGCCUAAAAGCAGCCAUCUUCAAAAAGCGUCAAAGCUUACCUACAAAUUUCACUAAUCCCCCUAAUUCUUAAAACCCCUUAAUCUUUAUUAAGUAACUCUAUAAAAUUAUAGUAUUUAUUAUGUUAAAACUAGUAACGAGAAUCAGAACUUCUCUUUAAUGUAAGUGUUAGUCAGAAUGGACAAACCACUGACUUUUAACAUUUGAAACCAAAGUAACAACUUACCAAGAAAAUCUUACCUCAAAUAGUGUUAACCUGACACAAGAACAUUCUCAGACAGAUUGAAAGGAAAAGAAGGAACUCGGCAAACAUUAACCCCGCCUGUUUACCAAAAACAUCGCCUCUUGACAAACAUAUAAGAGGUCCAGCCUGCCCAGUGACUCUGUUCAACGGCCGCGGUAUCCUAACCGUGCGAAGGUAGCGUAAUCACUUGUUCUUUAAAUGAGGACUAGUAUGAAUGGCAUUACGAGGGUUAUACUGUCUCCUUUUCCCAAUCAGUGAAACUAAUCUCCUCGUGAAGAAGCGAGGAUGAGUAUAUAAGACGAGAAGACCCUAUGGAGCUUAAAACUUUCAGCAAUUAUCUUUUCUACAACAACCUUAAGGUUUUUACACCAACUCUAAUAAUAUGCCCGUCAGUUUUCGGUUGGGGUGACCGCGGAGUAAAACUCACCCUCCGCAACGAAUAUUAACAAUUAAGCAAAAAACUACAAUUUUAUGCAUCAAAAAAUUGACAGUAUUGACCCAACAGUUUGAUCAACGAACCAAGUUACCCUAGGGAUAACAGCGCAAUCCAUCUCAAGAGCUCAUAUCGACAGAUGGGUUUACGACCUCGAUGUUGGAUCAGGGUAUCCCAGUGGUGCAGCCGCUACUAAAGGUUUGUUUGUUCAACAAUUAAAACCCU